Molecule: long non-coding RNA, 599 nt
Organism: Dermacentor albipictus
Lineage: Eukaryota; Metazoa; Arthropoda; Arachnida; Ixodida; Ixodidae
Source: RefSeq, a predicted model, not a curated record
CGUGUGUUUCGAGCGAUCCACCAGUGUCGUCAGUGAGUGCCCUAGUACAGCUCCCGUCCGAACUGCCUUUGUUCUGCCGAGCUGCUGCCGGCGCUGUUCUGCCGAGCUGUUCUGCCGGCGCUCUCGUCAAAAGUCUGGUACUGGGGCUUCGAAUUGUAGUGUUUGGAAGACUGUUGAAGGUUGUGCUUUUGUGGAGCUGGAGUUCAUCGGCAGUUCUACAGUGCUUGCGCCAGAGAAACGUCGGUGCUUCUGUACCUGUUAGACGAAGGAGCGUUUGCCAAGUCUUGAAAGGUAGACAUCGGUGACGGUGUAUACGUUGAAAAGGGCCUGCUGAAGAGGCUGUGCCUGGAUGCUAACAACUCAGGCUUUCACUUCGCGGAGGGCCUCCUUAAAGCUCCUUUUUCAAUAGGAGACGUUGAAGGGAGGUCCUUCUUUGGGCGGCUGUCAAAUGCCUUCCACAGAAGGAUCUGUUGGAUUCCAAGAAGGUCAACACCAUAGUAGACUACACAACGCAACAUUUCAGCCUACUUCCAGGGCAGCUGGAGAACUCGUCCCCCUUACUAGCCCGGGGAUAUUAAAUGGAUGUGUUCAAGCACAAA